CGAGAACGCGAACGAAUCUCUGCUAGUGAACAAUUUGACAACAUUUGUAUAUGAGUACGACAUUCGCGCAGGUCUGUUUUCUACCUCCGGAGAUGAAUGCCACCUAAAACCAAUACGCUGUGUUGUAACGGUAUUUGGCAGUAACGGAAUCUCGGUAGUGGGACCACCAAGCUAUAGUGGCGCAUUUGAUCUGAAAACGGACCUUGUUUCCAAACCGUUGAACAUUUGCGUGAUCAAUGACCAUUGCUACCUCUUUAAUGACACAAGUCCCGAUGACGGUCAAUACAUUUGUUACCCGGAUGUAGACCCCUAUCA
Dreissena polymorpha is the source of this 315-nucleotide long non-coding RNA. RefSeq lists it as uncharacterized. The transcript has 3 exons. The record is from RefSeq and is a predicted model, not a curated record. NCBI's taxonomy places the organism in Eukaryota, Metazoa, Mollusca, Bivalvia, Myida, Dreissenidae.